UUCCAAGGAGCAUGUCUUGCCAGCGAGCACAGUGCCGGCUCCUGGCCUCAGUGUCCUCUGUUCCAGCUCCUGUACCUUGAUGGGACACUCUGCAGUCCUGUCCAGGUCAUCUGAGACAGGUCCUGAGGGAGCUGCCAUGCUCUCCUUGACUCUCAGAGAGAACCCCAGCUGUGGACCCAGGGAAGAAGAGGGGCAGAGGGAUAUGCUAGUCUGGAGCCAGAAACUACAUCCUCCCCAGUCAGUGCUCCCCACAACACCAAGCUCCAGGAACCUAAGGCGCAGGCCUGGCACCCUGCAUCCGGCCUAGUCCAAUGUAGGUUGCUCUGGAGGAUCUUGCUCCACCCAAAGUCACUCAGGAACUGGAGACGCUUUCAUCAAUUGGUUCCACUAUAGUUUGGAUUGCAGAGUCCUACAAAAGAUGCUUUGCAUUCAGCUGGUAGCUGAAGGAGGAGAGAAAGAAUGGAUGCUUGUACAGGAAGUAACGUUAUUCACAUUGCUUCUGUCCUUAUUCCCUUGACCAGAGCUCAGUCACAUGAUCAUAGCAGAUUGUGGGAGUCUGGAAAAUAGUCUCUGACAUGGAUCCUUAUCUUAUUAGUAUUGAACCUUUCUAUUCUUUUUCAGAGUAAGCAUAUAAGCUACAAAUU
Long non-coding RNA from Gorilla gorilla gorilla (western lowland gorilla), 644 nucleotides. RefSeq lists it as uncharacterized. The transcript has 3 exons. The record is from RefSeq and is a predicted model, not a curated record. NCBI's taxonomy places the organism in Eukaryota, Metazoa, Chordata, Mammalia, Primates, Hominidae.